AGAGUUUGAUCAUGGCUCAGAAUGAACGCUGGCGGCAUGGAUUAGGCAUGCAAGUCGAACGAUGAAGCCUAGCUUGCUAGGUGAAUUAGUGGCGAAAGGGUGAGUAACGCGUGAGCAACCUGCCCUCAAGAUUGGGACAACACCUGGAAACGGGUGCUAAUACCGGAUGUGCUUAUAAUGACUAUGUUAUACUAAGUAAAUAUUUAUAGCUUGAGGAUGGGCUCGCGUUCCAUUAGCUAGUUGGUAAGGUAACGGCUUACCAAGGCAACGAUGGACAGCUGGUCUGAGAGGAUGACCAGCCACACUGGGACUGAGAUACUGCCCAGACUCCUACGGGAGGCUGCAGUCGAGAAUCUUCCGCAAUGCGCGAAAGCGUGACGGAGCAAUGCCGCGUGCAGGAUGAAGGCCCUUGGGUUGUAAACUGCUGUCACUAGGGAUGAAUAAAAUGACAGUACCUAGAGAGGAAGCACCGGCUAACUACGUGCCAGCAGCCGCGGUAAUACGUAGGGUGCGAGCGUUAUUCGGAUUUAUUGGGCGUAAAGGGUCCGCAGGGUGUAAUUUAAGUCAGAUGUGAAAUCCAACGGCUCAACCGUUGAACUGCAUUUGAAACUGAAUUACUAGAGUAUCGGAGAGGUGAAUGGAAUUCUUGGAGUAGCGGUGGAAUGCGUAGAUAUCAAGAAGAACACCAAAAGCGAAGGCAGUUCACUGGCCGAUUACUGACCCUCAUGGACGAAAGCGUGGGUAGCGAAAAGGAUUAGAUACCCUUGUAGUCCACGCUGUAAACGUUGUGUACUAGGUGUAGGA
RNAcentral lists this ribosomal RNA (804 nucleotides) under uncultured bacterium. Its description in RNAcentral is "bacterial SSU rRNA". It matches the Rfam family "Bacterial small subunit ribosomal RNA", at positions 8 to 827 of the family's 1533-position model. The record is from RNAcentral.